This 74-nucleotide transfer RNA is filed under the name Halophila beccarii. Its description in RNAcentral is "tRNA-fMet". It matches the Rfam family "tRNA". From Rfam's summary of the family: Transfer RNA (tRNA) molecules are approximately 80 nucleotides in length. Their secondary structure includes four short double-helical elements and three loops (D, anti-codon, and T loops). The record is from RNAcentral. Lineage: Eukaryota; Viridiplantae; Streptophyta; Magnoliopsida; Alismatales; Hydrocharitaceae.
GGCGGAGUGGAGCAGUUUGGUAGCUCGCAAGGCUCAUAACCUUGAGGACGUAGGUUCAAAUCCUACCUUCGCAU